Long non-coding RNA from Mytilus californianus (California mussel), 815 nucleotides. RefSeq lists it as uncharacterized. The transcript is spliced from 2 exons. NCBI's taxonomy places the organism in Eukaryota, Metazoa, Mollusca, Bivalvia, Mytilida, Mytilidae. The record is from RefSeq and is a predicted model, not a curated record.
AAUAUGAUCAGCUGUUCGAUUAUGUUCCAUAAAACCAAUUUGGUUUUUAUACGACCGCAAAAAUAUUUUGUGGUCGUAUAUUGGUAUGACGUUAGCGUCGUCGUCGUCCGGCGUCGUCGUCGUCCGAAGACACAUUGGUUUUCGCACUCUAACUUUAGUUUAAGUGAAUGGAUCUCUAUAAAAUUUUACCAUAAGGUUCAAUACCACAAAAGGAAGGUUGGGAUUGAUUUUGGGGAUUAUGGUACCAACAGUUAAGGAAUUAGGGGCCAAAAAGGGGCCAAAAAUAAGCAUUUUUGUAACUUCCAGACAUAACUUGUGUGUAAGUGUAUGGAUCUCUCUGACAUUGUACCACAAGGUUCCAUAUCACAAAGGGAAUGCUCGGAUUGAUUUUGGGGGUAAAAUUUUUGCCUCAAAAUUUUAGGAAUUAGGGGCUAAAAAAGGGGCAAAAAACAAGCAUUUUUCUAGUUUCAUGACAAUAACUUGUGUGUAAGUGUAUGGAUCUUUCUGAAAUUGUACUACAAGGUUCCAUAUCACAAAGGGAAAGCUGGGUUUGAGUUUGGGGGUAAUUGCCUUAAAUGUUUAGAAAUAUGGGGCCAAAAAGGGGCCAAAAAACAAGUAUUUUUCUAGUUUCCAGACAAUAACUUGUGUUCAAGUGUAUGGAUCUCUAUGAAAUUGUACUGCAAGGUACCUUACCACAAGGGGAAGGCUGGGAAUGAGUUUGGGGGUGAUGAAUCAUAAGGGGGUUUAAAAAAUUAGGGGGGGAUUUUUUUUUCCUUUUUUUUUCUUUAAAAUUUUCCAUUUUAAAUUGGUUAUUU